AUGGCGGCCGCGGGAUUCGAUUACCUUACCCGGGCUUGAAUUGCAGAGGAAAGAUCCAGAGAUGGUGAUGCCCUUCGGGGCCUCUGUGAAGGUGCUGCAUGGUUGUCGUCAGCUCGUGCCGUGAGGUGUCGGCUUAAGUGCCAUAACGAGCGCAACCCCUUUCCCUAGUUGCCAUCGGUUCUAGCCGGGCACUCUGGGGACACUGCCUCCGCAAGGAGUGAGGAAGGUGGGGAUGACGUCAAAUCACCACGGCCCUUACGUCCGGGGCUACACACGUGUUACAAUGGGUGAUACAGAGGGCCGGCCGCUGGCAACAUCGGUCCAAUCCUUAAAGUCAUCCUCAGUUCGGACUGGGGUCUGCAACCCGACCCCACGAAGCUGGAUUCGCUAGUAAUCGCGCAUCAGCCAUGGCG
Molecule: ribosomal RNA, 413 nt
Filed under: uncultured bacterium
Lineage: Bacteria
Description: bacterial SSU rRNA
Rfam family: Bacterial small subunit ribosomal RNA
Source: RNAcentral